AGAUCAGGGAUUUUUUUUGUCUCCAAGGAGAGCUGGCUGUUAAACAUGAACCAGUACACACUGGGGGGACCCUGUGGAAGCUCUUUUCCAGUUAGCAUCGUGGCCGCUUUGGGAGGGUGCCCUAGGCUCUCGUUCCUCCUUUCCUGCCUCUGCACAGAGCCUGCGUCAGGCGGCCACACCCCUGAAGGUUGGUACUUAACUGUCCACAUGGUCUGCACUGCUUCAACUUGGCUUGAGAUUACUCAACUCCCAGCCAACACCGGAACUUAUUUAAACAAUAAAUACUUGCAAACUGAACAAAACAAGCUUCCCACACAGAGCCGAGUAACGCGACUGCUUUACACAGUGAGUGGGGACACAGCCUAAUCAGCGUCGCUCAUUACAAAGUGCAGUCCCGUGGGGCGUUCACCUGUUCCUGUCCCUGGGCCCACCUUCCCGGAAGUCAGAGGCUCCAGGGGUUCCUAGAGGCGUGAGUGUUUGGUACGGGGACCCCGUGCUCAGAACCCCUCGGGCAGGAGUCAGGCCCAGCUGUAUGGAGCGAUGCUGCGGACUCUUCAUUGACACAGUUGCAGAGAAGAUUCAGGAUAUAAAUUUGAAGAAGGAUUAACCAUUCCCAGAACAAAUAGCCCUCGCCCGCUCUCCUCUUCAUACACAAACCCCACUGCGUAUCCAAGUGCAAACAGGUGGAUGCUUAACCACUACACCGCCAGGGAAGCCCUGCUUUCAGUUUUGAAAGCCAUGUUUCUUCCAGGGGCUGUUGCCUUUCAAGGCUCUGCACGGUUACGCGAUUUGUCUCUGACAUGACCGACCGUUCUUCUCCAGCCUGUGUGGACCCUGCUCAAGGAGGAAGAAUAGAAAGGACCUUGCCCUUGAGUUGCUUACAGCCACUCUGUUCAGGGAAUAAUCUUUGGGCAAAGGAAAUUCCUGCCCAGUGCCACUCAGAGGCAGGUGUGGGUGUGGCCUGCUCUGGCGCCAGCAGAGGCCGUUCUGGAGUCCCCAUGGCAGACCUUUCUCCGCACCGUUUUGGGUGAGUCCAGAGAGGAAAUUUUCCUUGGACCUGCGUCAUCUCUGCUCCGCAGAGUCCGGGAAGGCCAGAGGAUGGCGCUGGUCUCUGCAAAGAGCAGCCUGUGGUCAGGGAAGGCAGCCCACCUGGGUCAGAGGCCGCUGACAUCACAGGCUAAAUGGAUGUUCAGGGAGAGACCCCGUGACAACUGAGUUACAAGAGGCCUCCCAGAAGUUGUCUGACCUCAUGGAAAAAUCAAUGCACCUCUUGUUUUUGUCUCCUGAAAUAUUUCGUCGGUGAUGGUCCUUCCCCAGGUGACAACAUAUUUUAUGACAAAGUGCGGCAGGCUGCUGGGCCUCUGGUGGCUUCAGACACAGCCUGACAUCAUUCCCUGUCAUUACUGAUGAGUCUCACCUGCCUGGGGCUGGAAGGUGAUGCUUCCUCCCUGCCCCACUAGGGAGCCUGGGAGGGAGA
Aethalodelphis obliquidens (Pacific white-sided dolphin) is the source of this 1477-nucleotide long non-coding RNA. RefSeq lists it as uncharacterized. Lineage: Eukaryota; Metazoa; Chordata; Mammalia; Artiodactyla; Delphinidae. The record is from RefSeq and is a predicted model, not a curated record. The transcript has 4 exons.